GUUGAUUUUUCACAAUUUCCGGUCAAGCGAAAGCUGCCCGGCACCAAAUGGCGGAAACGUAAUUUGGUUCUUGGCCAUUAUUUUCGGUUCUGGCCGCAAAGCCAAAGCGAACUCAUCGUCCUUCGAUGGUCGGAGUCCGUGGAGUCCAUCGCCUCAUCAUAAUCGAAGCCACGAAACUGAAGGACUGCGCCACAAUGCGGUUUCCGCUGCCAGCUGAUUGGCUUCCGUUUCCGCUAAUUUUUGGAAAACUCGCCUCUCUGCCCUUCCCAUGUGCCUUUGUCUCUGGCCGAGUUGUUAUAGUUGCUGUUGAUUAGGCUCAAAGCUAAUUUCAUUUCAGAUUGGAAUUGAAAUUACCAACUUUCUAUCGUGCCCCAACUACCCACUUAAAUAGUACAACAAAGGUAUUUCAUAAAUUAGAAACCUCUAUUCCAUUCAACUUUUCAGUGAUACAAUCAAAAUGGCUGAGUGCAUUAUUCACAUACCAGCAAAGUGCAUCGAAUCAGCAGCUGUAGAACCCGAAAAGAAGAAACUACAACCAGUAGAGCAAUGGCGAAUCUUUUUCGACCGUCUACACACAAAUAUCUCUUGUCGGAUACUUUUAUUGCCCUGCACAUUCGCUGUGUCUAAGCACAUCAAAUAUGUAUUCGGAAUGGAAAUUUAAAACCUUAUUACUGGCAGAGUGGAAAGCG
Non-coding RNA from Drosophila melanogaster (fruit fly), 689 nucleotides. The record is from Ensembl. NCBI's taxonomy places the organism in Eukaryota, Metazoa, Arthropoda, Insecta, Diptera, Drosophilidae.